This 2084-nucleotide long non-coding RNA is filed under the name Capra hircus (goat). RNAcentral describes it as "lncRNA (ENSCHIG00010012725.1)". Lineage: Eukaryota; Metazoa; Chordata; Mammalia; Artiodactyla; Bovidae. The record is from RNAcentral.
AUGCCUNNNNNNNNNNNNNNNNNNNNNNNNNNNNNNNNNNNNNNNNNNNNNNNNNNNNNNNNNNCACCUCCUCCGAGCUCUCUCCCUAACCAGGCUCCCGAGAUGCCUCCCUUUUCCUUUGCCGUCUUUGCACUCUGGUCUUUCCUUUGUGCACUGAUUUGUAAGUAUCUCUUCAGUAGUUACUUUUCCAGACACUGCACAUGUAGCAGGGAAAGAAAAGAGCAAACCCCUUCACCUUCCUGGAGCCUACUGUCUGUGGGGCAUCAGGAACAAGCAGAUUCACGCCACAGCCCCUUGGUGCCCCGCUGGCCGCCAGGUGGCCUCCUUGUUGCUCCUCUCCCCACCCCCUGGAACGUAAGCCCUGCAGAGGCAGGCAUGGUUUCUGCAUUGUUGAUCUCUUACUACAGUGCCUGGAGCACAGAGCACGCUGCUCAGUAUGUGAGCACAGCUGAUAUGUGUUGCACGGGAACUGUGCCAAAUGCCAGGCUCAGUGCUAACGAUGCAGAACUGCCCGACCCACGGCCCCCUGCCCCUGCCCACUCACAGUCAGGUGGGGCUAGAGAUAGUCACAGUGUACACGUGGGAUGCACCUUAUCACACCACCCAAGCAGGUGUAGUAAGGCAGCUCCGACUCAGCCUGGGGCUGGGAGAAGCGGAAAGACUUUAUGGAAGUUUCCCAGGCAAACAGGGGAAUCAGCCCUUGCUGACCACUUCCUGGUGGAUCCUCUUUGCACCGUCUGUUCUCCAUCCCAUCCCUCGUUGCCUCAGCCCACUUCUCCUAAUUUCUCACCUGGGCAUGUCAUCAAGCAAAAACUGUUCCCCUGCCCCUCCCCUGGACUCCGUACUCUGCAAAGCAGUGCGAGAUCGCUAGUAACAAACAUCUGAUCAUUAGUGUGCCCUGCUUAUUGAUUCUCCCAUGGUUUCCCAUAACCCGCAGAUGAAAACCCUAACUUCUUGGCAUGGCAGGACCUUUGCUAACUCCUCCCACCCUGGUUCCAUCUUUGUCCAUCUUCGACCUUGAGAUUUAAACACCAUAAAAAGGAGCCACCUGCAGGGAGGCAAAAUAACACCAGGAUGACAAGCAGGGCUCUGAAGUCAGAAAGUCCUGGGUCUGUAUCCUGGCUCUGACACUAAGGAGUAGGCCUUGAGUACCUUUCCUAUUCUCCCUGAGCCCUAGGUUUGUCACCUGUAAUAUGGAAAUGGUAAUAAUAACAGCCACCUUGCAGCAUUGUUUUGAGGAUUAAAUGAGUAUAGGUAUAUCAGACAACUGUCAAAAUGUCCAGCACGUGGCACGUAACCAGUAGCCAGGAGGGGUUUCCUCAAGGUCAUUACUGGUCUGUUGCUGGCAGACUCCAGCCGGCUCACACAAGGCCCUAAGUUGGUACCUGCUGUCUGCUCGUCCUUAAUGAACACCCCCUGCUUGUCUGUCAGACAAAGAAUCUUCUUUCAGUGUCAGCUCAAGUGGUUCCCACUUGGGGAUGUGCCCUUGAAUCAUUCAGGCAGACUUAGCUUGCCCUCUUGCUCUCUCUCUCUGUCACUCCCAGCCCCCCUUGGACAAUUUAUUUAUUUCUUUAUUUUGAAGAACAGAAGUUCAGUGUGGCAGGAAGUGAGGAUGAAAAGAGAUGAGCCUGGAGAGAUGGACUGAGGAGACCAUGAAGAGCCCAGAUCGGCUCCUUACAACCAGAAAUCCCACCCCUUCUGUUCUUUGUAUCUUCAGAACCAAGCACAGUGCCUUAUGCAUCCUGAGGGCUCCAGACCCGUUGUUCAACCAGCAUAGUCUCCUGACAGGUGACCAGGACACCUUGGGUGCUUUAGACGACCUCUGGGCAUGCCUGGAUCCCAUGGAUUUCCUGGGAACCACGUCCUGCUCCACGUUUCUCCUGAUGAUGGGAAGGUCACAGUCAGGCAAGAGGCAGAGUGCGCCUGUCUGUGUGUCUCUGGGAAUCUAGGCACCGUUCUCUGCACACAGUUGUCACAAAUGGGAUGGAGGUGUGGGUGGAUGGGGUGCGUGACAUUCGUCCCUCCCAGCUCCCUCCUCCAUCACACUGUUACGGGUGUGUCCACAGGCUGAAGGACGCUGGGAA